Molecule: non-coding RNA, 74 nt
Organism: Pilaira anomala
Lineage: Eukaryota; Fungi; Mucoromycota; Mucoromycetes; Mucorales; Mucoraceae
Source: the annotation of a GenBank genome assembly
GCCCGUGUAGCGUAAUUGGAUAACGCGUUAGUCUUCUAAACUAAAGAUUGCGGGUUCGACCCCCGCCAUGGGUU